UGGACUGCAGACCUGUCUUGGGAGUAUCUCCCCUCUGACCCAUUGACCCUGACACCCUGCAAGGAUAAAGCAGUCAUUACUGUUGCAUUACUGUUGCAUGGUUGCUAACACAGAUACUUAGUGCUGCAGACUAGGAAACACCUCAAGAGAGCUGCAGUUUUGGAGAUGCUCUGACCAAGUUGUCUAGCCAUCACAAUUCUUGUGACUACAUGGAAAGCUGACCUGCCAUAAAUUCACUCUGUGGGGAUCAUGACAGGGCUGGAGCCAAUCUUCAUGAAAGAAAAAAAAUGGCAUGAGGUUCCCAUCCCCCCUCUCCCUGAGUCCUUUUUCCAGCCCCAGCUCACCCUUUACCCUCACUACUGGAGCACCUUCGCUCCCUAUCUUCCUGCCUAUCUCUCUGUCUAUGCACCUACAAGGCUUUCUCUCUCUCCCUCUCUCUGUCUCUCUCUCUCUUUCUCCCCCUUUUCUCUCCAUGGGUAAGCAGGUAAUCAUGAGCUGUCACAGAAAGGUGACCCAUUAAUGUGAUGGAUACGGUGUGAAAAACAAAUGGUGUGAAACGUGUGGAUUGCUGUCCUUACUGCACCUUGGCCUUUUGUUCUGUCAUAUCAAUAUCCACACAGGGCCUCAUUACACCGCUGCACUACACAAUGAGUGGAGCGCCAGGGUCAAGACUGUGCCACGCUCCCUUUGACUGGCUCCAACUGGGCUUUUCAGCUCAACCUCACCCAGAGGACUCCCAGGUUCUGCUGGUGGGCCUGUAUCCAAUCUUGGGCUGGAGCAUUUUUAAGCAGUUGCAGGACAAGCAUUCUUCAACUGAUGCUCCACGUUGAGUGGUCAUAUGGAUCACAACCCUGGAUUCACUUCCUUCACCUUCGGACAGAAACCCAGGACCUCAUCUACCGGCUGCCUCUGCAAGCUCCAAACUAAUCCUCCAGCCUGCUCGCUCUCCAACUUUCACUAGGAGUACACCUUCUGACUCUCCGGACUGCUGGCCGACAGGUUGUGCCCAAGACCCCCCCCCCCGAGAUCAACUAUCAGGAGAUCGCAAGCCUGAGAACCAAGACUCUACGACCAGAGACAGUAUUCUUUGAGAGAAUUAAAGAGACAGUAUUCUU
Molecule: long non-coding RNA, 1115 nt
Organism: Girardinichthys multiradiatus
Lineage: Eukaryota; Metazoa; Chordata; Actinopteri; Cyprinodontiformes; Goodeidae
Exons: 4
Source: RefSeq, a predicted model, not a curated record